GAGGAAGCGGUUGCGUCCCCGUGUUCAGUUCGGAACACAGAAUGCACGCCACACUUCAUGGAUCUCGCCCACUCCAGUCAGCAGUUUCUCCAAGUACCAGUCUCUUUUCAACAGCAGAGAUUUUGCCCUUCACCUUUGCCAGCUCUUUUGCUAAUGACUGGAUUCCACCGAACGAGUCGUCUGAACGGCUGUAGAGAGCUUCAGCCGGUCAUUCCAGCCUCAGUGACUGACAUCUCAGCUGUGAUGAAUUGUUCUGCUCAUCCC
Conger conger (European conger) is the source of this 264-nucleotide long non-coding RNA. RefSeq lists it as uncharacterized. NCBI's taxonomy places the organism in Eukaryota, Metazoa, Chordata, Actinopteri, Anguilliformes, Congridae. The record is from RefSeq and is a predicted model, not a curated record. The transcript has 3 exons.